GGAAGUAAAAGUCGUAACAAAGUUUCCGUAGGUGAACCUGCGGAAGGAUCAUUAUCGUAAAACCGAGGUGCGAGGGCUGUCGCUGACCUUUUCGGUCGUGCACGCCCGAGCGCUCUCACACAAUCCAUCCCACCCCUUGUGCACCACCGCGUGGGUCCCUUUCUGGCUCGACCGGAGGGGGGCUCGCGUUUUCACACAAACUUGAAGUAGUGUAGAAUGUCCUUUUUUUGCGAUAACACGCAAUCAAUACAACUUUCAACAACGGAUCUCUUGGCUCUC
Molecule: unclassified non-coding RNA, 279 nt
Filed under: plant metagenome
Description: partial contains small subunit ribosomal RNA, internal transcribed spacer 1, and 5.8S ribosomal RNA
Rfam family: Eukaryotic small subunit ribosomal RNA (bases 1-54)
Source: RNAcentral